GAUGAACGCUGGCGGCGUGCCUAAUACAUGCAAGUCGAGCGAACAGAUAAGGAGCUUGCUCCUUUGACGUUAGCGGCGGACGGGUGAGUAACACGUGGGUAACCUACCUCUAAGACUGGGAUAACUUCGGGAAACCGGAGCUAAUACCGGAUAACAUUUUGAACCGCAUGGUUCUAAAGUGAAAGAUGGUUUUGCUAUCACUUAUAGAUGGACCCGCGCCGUAUUAGCUAGUUGGUAAGGUAACGGCUUACCAAGGCACCGAUACGUAGCCGACAUGAGAGGGUGAUCGGCCACACUGGAAGUGAGACACGGUCCAGACUCCUACGGGAGGCAACAGUAGGGAAUCUUCCGCAAUGGGCGAAAGCCUGACGGAGCAACGCCGCGUGAGUGAUGAAGGGUUUCGGCUCGUAAAACUCUGUUAUUAGGGAAGAACAAACGUGUAAGUAACUGUGCACGUCUUGACGGUACCUAAUCAGAAAGCCACGGCUAACUACGUG
RNAcentral lists this ribosomal RNA (497 nucleotides) under uncultured bacterium. Its description in RNAcentral is "partial 16S ribosomal RNA". It matches the Rfam family "Bacterial small subunit ribosomal RNA", at positions 28 to 507 of the family's 1533-position model. The record is from RNAcentral.